RNAcentral lists this ribosomal RNA (568 nucleotides) under uncultured bacterium. RNAcentral describes it as "bacterial SSU rRNA". It matches the Rfam family "Bacterial small subunit ribosomal RNA", at positions 338 to 916 of the family's 1533-position model. The record is from RNAcentral.
CCUACGGGAGGCAGCAGUGGGGAAUAUUGCACAAUGGGCGCAAGCCUGAUGCAGCGACGCCGCGUGAGGGAUGACGGCCUUCGGGUUGUAAACCUCUUUCAGUAGGGAAGAAGCGAAAGUGACGGUACCUGCAGAAGAAGCGCCGGCUAACUACGUGCCAGCAGCCGCGGUAAUACGUAGGGCGCAAGCGUUAUCCGGAAUUAUUGGGCGUAAAGAGCUCGUAGGCGGUUUGUCGCGUCUGCCGUGAAAGUCCGGGGCUCAACUCCGGAUCUGCGGUGGGUACGGGCAGACUAGAGUGAUGUAGGGGAGACUGGAAUUCCUGGUGUAGCGGUGAAAUGCGCAGAUAUCAGGAGGAACACCGAUGGCGAAGGCAGGUCUCUGGGCAUUAACUGACGCUGAGGAGCGAAAGCAUGGGGAGCGAACAGGAUUAGAUACCCUGGUAGUCCAUGCCGUAAACGUUGGGCACUAGGUGUGGGGGACAUUCCACGUUUUCCGCGCCGUAGCUAACGCAUUAAGUGCCCCGCCUGGAGAGUACGGCCGCAAGGCUAAAACUCAAAUGAAUUGACGG